Gallus gallus (chicken) is the source of this 12191-nucleotide long non-coding RNA. RefSeq lists it as uncharacterized. The record is from RefSeq and is a predicted model, not a curated record. The transcript has 3 exons. Lineage: Eukaryota; Metazoa; Chordata; Aves; Galliformes; Phasianidae.
GAAUGAUGACAUACUGUCAGGUGUAGGCAUGCCCUUGGGCAUUUCCUCUGAAAAUACCUAAACCCGAUUUCCUUUUUUGACAUAGCCACCUAAGCAAUUCUUCAAAAACCAUACAGCUAUCAGUCUUUCCAAAAACCAGCUGGAGCAGCUGGAGGUUGAAGACCCGCAAUUUGCAUACAAAUCAAUUGUUAGCACUAUGUUCAAAUUAAAACUGGGAGAAUUUCCUUUCAGUACUGAUCUUGCCUACUUGGAAACUGUGGCAGGUUAAACUCUGUUGGCUGUUUGAGACCCACCCAGCUCUCUCACUGUCCUUUUUCACUGAGACACAGGGACUGGAAAUAAGAUGGGAAAGAUCAUGGGUUGAGAUAAAGACAGGGAGAUCACUUAUCAAUUACAAUAAUGGGCAGAACAGACUCAACUUGGGGAAAAGUUAAGAGUAAGGUGGUGAGGAACAGGGACAAACCGAAAAACACCCCACUCUCUGCUGCACCUUUUCUGAGGCUCAUUUCCCCUUCAAUACAGGUCCUUCCAGUGGUGUAUAGUCUUUCAGUAAUGGACUCCUUCUCUGCUGGUCCCCCACAAGCUGUAGUUCCUGCCAGAUAACUUGUUCUUGUGUGACCUCCUCUUCAUGGUUGUUGCUAGUAGCCUGUUCUGAUAUGGUCCUCCACAGGCUACAGAGGUCAUCCUCCUCCACAGGCUGCAAAGGAAUCUCUGCUCUGCAAACAUGAGCAUCUCCUCUUCCUCCAUGCCUAACCUUAGUAUCUACAGCUUUGCGUCUCUCUCUGUUUAUGUCAUUCCUGUCUCUUCUGCCUGCUGUAUAUUUUUUUCUACCCUUUCAUAUACAUGUUUUCACAGAGUCAUCACCAGCUGCGGUCUGUGGCUUGUCUGCUGACAAGCUGACUGGGAUAAAGAUAAAGAUACUAUUUAUCUCUCAGCUAUGUCCAGCAUAGGAAGACCAGGGCCUCUUCUAACAAAAGCCACCCCUUAAGUAUCCCAGCUAUCACAACUUUGCCAAACACUAUAAAGAACCAGAUUAGAGAACACUAGUUGAAAAUUUUGACCAGAAUAAGUUUUCCACAAAAAAGUUUUGUCUGUCUGACAUCCUGUUAAGUGUUAUAAUUCAAUUGAAUUAAGGAGAUAGUCUUAAUUUAACAGGCACUGAAGAGAAAAUGAGAAUCUAGCUUCAAACUUCUACUUCUUCCUUCCUUAUGCUUCCUUUAAUUUCUUUCUAUUAUUUUUUAUUUAAUUAUUUAUUAUUAACUUUCCUGUUAUUUUCGUAUCUUGGACACUGAAUGCUAUGCAGAAAUGGGAAUUAAAUCAAGGAAAUGUUGUGAGUACCUGAUUCAUUAACCAGAAAAUAAGAAACAAGGUAUGAAGGCAAAAGCUCUUUCGAGUUUAUAGUUCAUAGUAAUCCUAGAACUGGCUAUAGAUUGCAAAUACAGAACAUUUCACACAAUGAGAUGGGUCAUCCAUUUCAACUUAUUUUCCAAAGUGUGAAGCAUUUGUUCCAGGGAAAGGUACCAAAAUCAGUAAACUUCUGGUAAUCUCUCCAUCCUGCAUUAAGUUUUGUCCUUGGGAAACAUUUUGAGACAGAACUGAUAAAAUUGGAAAGAAAAUUCUUCCUACUGUAAAACCUUACAGGUGAAAACAUUAUUACAUCAUUACUAUUGCCACAGAUGUUAUGCUUUUAAAAUAAGGUUUAAAUUUUAAUCACCUGUCUAAUAUUUUCCCCGAAUCAGCAGAACAUGCCAUAAGGUAUGUAUUUCAUUUAUAUUGACAUUCUGUUAAUGGGCCCAAAUUUACACAUGUAGUUAAUUAUUUUGAUGAACAGGAAAGAAGAAUGUUUAUCUUAACAUUCAUUGCAUUUUUAGGUAGUCACAAGUGAUCACAGUCUGGGAUAUUUUUUAUUUUUCAGAUAAAUAGCAACUGUAAGAUAUUCAGAGGAAUACCUGUUCUCAUUUACUUUGAUGUUAUUCACAUUUAUUUUUUAAUUUUCCUUUGUAACCCCAGAUUUAUUUCAAUGUAACAAAAAAGCAGCUUUUGACUCCUAGCAAGUGUCAACAGUUCACAGGCCAAUUCAGCCUGGUUCCGUGACUAAAGGGGUGGGGGGACCAUGGACCCACCAGGAAAGGAAAAAGGGGAAAAGGGGAAAGGGUAUGGAGAUGGGCCUAAAAAUAAACAGCAGCAAUGAUCUGAGGAGGAAAGCUAACUUACUAAAAAGAUACUAGAAUGCAAGUUAAGGCAAUAUAAUACAAUGGGAUAAAAUUUAAAUGGAAUUGAAGAUGGUAACUCAAAUAAAAUGAGAGAGACAGUGUGUCCAAAAAAAAUGAAAGCCUUACUCUAUUGUUGAAGGCAAGAUGUCUAGCUGGGAAGAGCAGAAAUGGAAAAGGGAGCAGGGUCUUGUGACCUGCGGACAGUUUUUAUCUUUCCCUCUUAAUGGAAAAUGGAAACAGAGCAACGCAAAGUCGUCUGGGAUAUGUAGGUCUCUUUCUCUUGCAAGAACCAGGUGCCCAGAACUAUCCAUGACCCAUGGAACUGAAACAUUAAUUCUAAUUCCCAGUGCACUACAUGAUGUUACGAUGUGGAGUACUGAUAAAAAAAAAUCAUAAAACCAUUAAAGUGAGAUAAAAAAAAAAAAACAACAAACACAUCAUAUUGCCAGUUACAAAAACCCUUCCAGACACUUACUGAAAACAAAAUUUCACUUUCUGAAAUUUUCUGUAACAUUUUUAGAUAAGGGAGGAGGUAGUAGUGGGGAAUAUGAGAUCACUGUUUAUAAUGCCAAUCAUAUCUCCAAUAGGGGAUUAAGAUUCCUUUUCCUCCCUUAUUUAAUGUCUCAAAGCUUUGUAAGUAAGCUUUAAUAGUGUAAAAAUUUUGAAGAAAAAAAUAAAAGUAACUAAUAUUUUGGAGAUAACAUCUAAAAUUUCUUGAAGAGUUUGUAAAAUUUAUUGACAGAUAAAUAACUUGAAUUCUUAAUGGGAGGAGGGAUUCUUACAAAGUCAGUUAGUAUAAACACAUUUAGCUGACAAAAAGGCAAGAAGAAUGUUAGAGAUAUUUUUUAAUUUUUAAUGGUUUUUCUUCUUCUUUUUUUUUUUUUUGCUGAUGUUUGUUAAUGAUAAUUCCCUUUUCCUGUACUGUUUACUUUUAAUAAGACUCUAAAAACAGCAUAAAUACCAUAAAGUCACAAUCGUAAUUAUUCUGAUCUACUUAUAAGGGAGUAUAAAAAAAUAAACAGGGUAUCAGUGAAUUUAAGUGUUAAGGCUUGAUAAAUGAUUUAGAAUAUUGAUUACUAUUACAGAACAGGGGAGCACCUUUCCCAGGUUCACCUGAGAUUUAACCUACAAAAAAAUGGUCCAAUGUCUCUCAAUGUUUAAAGUUCCAUUCCAGUUAGUUUUUGCGAACUAUUGUCUAUACUGAGUAAUGUAGAACUGAGAAGCUACCCAAACAAUCUUGGAGAAAACUUUUACAUCUCUAUUACAGCACAAGUGUAAGUCCCCCCCAAAAAAGGACCAGCUAGACCAUAUUCAUCUGUUGAUUCAAUGAUACUAGUAGUUUAACCACAGUUCAUAAAAAUGUCCAGAAAAGAAGGUGCCUGAGUAACUGUACCAGAACUGAGAGGCUAGUGUGUUCCCUCCAGUAUAGAGAAGACAGAUCUGAGAUAGGGACACUUUAGGAAAGCCCUUGAAUAUGUCAUGGUAGGCUUGAUCUAUUCAGUUAAUUAUUAGAAGGGAAUGUUUUCAGGCAAUGGGACAUGGCUCUGUAUUAUCAGAAUAAUUGUAAGGAUCUCUUACAUUCAGUAAUCCCCCAAAAUACAUCUGCAUUAAUUAAAUAUAAAGACAGAAAUAAAUCUCUGUAUAUGUUUGUAUAUACCGUCAGGUGUGAAAUUACAUACUUAUAUUUUAAUAAUUCAGUUUUAUAAGUAAAAAAGAGGAUAAAUAUUAAUUCCUAUAUUUCUUCUUAAACCCAGUUUAAACUAACUGUACAUCAAAGUUCAUGGUGGAAAAUGUAUGUUCAGUUAAUUCUGAAAACAAUAGCUUUAGUAUGCUGGUCAUUACAGUACUUUCCUUCUUCAGGGUAGGGUUUUUAAUCUUUGCUAAAGAUCCAUCAGCUGCAUCUCUGAUACCUCUUACCUUCAGUACAACUUUUUAUAAUACGGUGAAGGACAUCAGAAAACUGUCUCUCAUCGUAACUGUAUGCUGCUGAGAAAAAUCUGGCCCAAGAUCUGACCUUUAGGUAAUUAUAUUUCAUGCUCAAGAAUCAGAGCAUUCAUACUCUUCUGCAUGUUGUCUUCUUCUUCCAAUGUAUAACUCCUUCAAGUUUCUUUCCACUAAGGAGUGGCAGAGUUCAAAGAGCACUAAUUCUCCAAAGCAUUAUAAAUACAUGUGUACUAGUGUGUCAAGAUUGCACAGACAAAAUGCAUAACAUAAUGGCUUGAUGACUUUUCAUCACCCUGUCUUGGCGUAUCGUCCCGAAGUUGCAAUACCCCAGCCCAGUAGUAGUGUUUUGUUAGGAUGCUAAGAUGUGGCUCCACUCCUCUUCCAUUGCCUACGGUGGUGGAUUUCUUGUUCCUUUCCUCAUUUUUUUGUGUAUGGUUUUCUAAACGUGCAUACAUCAUACAGACUUUUUUUUUUGUUGACUUUGGGAAAUUAAAAGAAAAAUAAUUAAAUCUUAAGGGGAAAACUUGACUCUGUAGUGUCAGAGCCUAUCUUCUGAAACUGAGUUCAUUUUGAAUUUGCAGGGAAAUCCAUAUAGCUAUAAUACUUCCUUUGUUUUCUCCAUAAUGUGUUUUAAAGAGGUUGUGUAUGACAGAUCUGAAAAACAUUCUUUUCUCAGAACUGAAGCAAAGGACAUACUCAUAAGGUAGGAUACUUCAUAUCAUCUCAAUUAAUUCAUGAACAUGUCACAUGCUCUUUUACAUCCCCAUGAGUGACAUGGUACUUAGACUUUGUUAAGGAUUCUGAAGCACGGACUGACUUCUCAGAAAGGUUAUCAGAUGUAGUCACACUAUUUGCAUCAUCUUGAUCAGCAUUCUCUUUGAUCCUCAGCCUAAGACAUUUGCAGAGAUGACUCCUUUUUGCAUGCUGGAAAAGCAUCAGGCUUCAUUUUCACAAACAGGUGAUGAAGAAAUGUUUGCAACAAAUAAUGAAGAAUGUCAAUACCAUACUUCACCAUGGUUAAUCCUUAAUGAAUGGAGUAUCUUGAAUUUGAGUACCACGACAGCAAAGUCCAAAACAGAUUAGGUGCUAUAAUUGUAUGAAGGCAUGUGGGAAAACUACCUCAAACUUCAUACUGUCCUGCACAACCAUGAAGAAGCAGAUCUGAUGCUAAACAUUCUAGAGAAGUAGAUAUAAACUGGGAAUACCAGAACUAGAACCAGGAUAAUCCAGAGGAUAUGAUCAACUGGUAUUUGUGGCAUGCUUCAAGACAUUGGUUUCCUAACCUAGGAGACUAGGAACUUGUCAGGACACUUGACAGCAGUCAUCCAGCAGUGCUUGAUUAUGAUUAAUCUGAAAAUGGGGGGAAGAUAAUUGAAAGGAAUACUGAAGAGUGUGAAAUAAUGUAAUAUCAUUAUCUAUGAAACGAGGGUGUGUCUAGAGGAAACUUGAAUCUGGAAACCAGAAACCUCCUGAAAUUUAGAUAGUAAUUGGAUUUAUAUAUAACUCUAUUCAAAAAUUUCUAUACAUAUAACCUAUUUUAAAAGUGCUAUUAAUUGGUGGUAUUUAAGAAAAUUAUUUCCAUUCAUUUAUAAGACAGAAUGGUUUCCUUGCUUCUGUGAUACUCUCUGAAAGACAAAAAAAGCAUUUGAAAAAGAUGCAGAUUAUGAAUCAACACCUGCUGCCAAAGAGACUGAGGAUAAGAAUUCUAUUACAUGUUCAUGAAAAUCAUGGCAUCUGUCUUACUUUCUUGUUCCAUAGCAUACAGGAGUAAUUUUUUUCUUCUUUCUGGAAAACACAUAGCUGCCAGAAGAUUCCACUAGACUUAACUAACCAUAAUUCAGUAUCAGGUAACAUUUCAUUUUAACUGCAGCAGAGAGAAACACAAAUAGACAUGCAGGUCUAGAAUAAUGUGAAGUGUGGUUGCAAGCAUAAUCAUUGUGUUUUUAACACUGAUUAUUGUAGAGGGAAAUGUCUUUUCUGAAAUUGUGUUUGUAUGUUCCUUAGUCUUGAAAUGUCACUUGAUUUCAGUCUCAGUGGAAUAACACUUGAAGCCUUCACAAAUGUAAAAUGAACAAGAUCAUCAAUAUUUUGUACCACUCUACCAUCUUGAAUCAAAUAUGACAUAUUUCAUUUUUUUCACUGACAAUAUAUUUUCAUGGGAUUUUUUAAGUUUCCCUCUACUGGACCUUAUCAGAUAUAUUCUCAUCAGUACUUUCUUUAGCAGAAGAUGCCAGAACAGCAAGGAAAAGAAUCAGCUCACUAGAUUCAAAAAUGAGUGACUGUUGCAGACCUCUCAUCUUUUCAUUUUACUCUCUUAAGACCAUAUGCCAAAGUUUCUUUGCUUUUAGUUUGUCAGUGGAAAUAGAACUUAUCCAUUGUGAUGAAUGAUGCAGUAACUUUAAAGUUCAGAGUUUCAAGUAGAAGUAAUGCAUUUCUAAAAUAAAAUAGAUCAUAUGAGGAAAAUGUACGCAUAUUGCACAAACGGAAAAUAGUAAACAAGUGAAUGCUAACCAAUCUGAGUAAUGUAUGAAUGAUGGAAUGUUUUUUUCUAAUUUAUUCAGUUUUACAAUUCCUUUGAAGUAUAUCUCCAAAAUACUGAUAUCAAGAGACACUGGUAGAUUGCUCAUGAUAAAUAUCUGCUGUUGUGCAAUUUAAAACAAACUCCACUCAAAACAAAUAAAAGGUACAAAACUUCAAAGAUAAGUAUGGUUCUUCUCAAGUAUACUUGGUCUGGAUCUGCUGCUUUUGGUUAAAGCAAAAAAUACCAGCUAUUUUUAUUGGCGCUUAAUCAAUUUUUUACCCUAAAAUUCAAUUACAAGUUCGAAAAUAUUUUUUUUUUUUUUGUGAUGUAUUCUCCAUUUGAUAAGUAUUGAUAUUUUCCUAGAAGAAAUAUUUGGCUUUCACCGUGGAGUUUUUUGCUAUCCAAGCACCUUUUAGAUAGACCACUUGCUCACGAUAGAAAGGUUUACAACUUCUUCAUUUUCCUUUCUCAUUAGCUAGAGUCUGACAAAUAUACCAAACUCUCUGUUAAUGCACUGAUAUGAGAAUGUUAUUCUCAUUAUGCUCAAAUCUUCAGAUUGUCUUGUUCUGAUGACUUCAUUCAGAUAUUGAUUUAUUUUACUGUUAAUUAUUACUGAAUCUCUCUUGGUUAAUAUUUCUCAAGGGACAAGAGGAAAUCCUUUGUUUUAUAGAAUUUAGAAACCUUUGACUCAAUUUAUUUUUGUCCUGAAUACUGUGUCAAAUUUCAAUGCAAACAUUCCUUUCAAAAUGUAUAUUGGAAAUGAAGAUUUGCUGAAAUACCAUACAAAAGAACUUUCAUCUUUAACAUUUCAGGAACAAAACUGAAAAAUAACAACAAACAGAACUAAAAUUCCUGUAAAGCUGAAAUUUCCUUAAUUGAAUUUAAGGCUUAAAUUAGAGUUCAUUGUACAUAAUUAUAUGUAUUCUGACUCUGUAAACACAAAAUUUUUUUGUUGUUGUUCUUCUUGAAAAAAAUAAAGAAAAACAUGGAAUGAAUUUUGGAAGUUUUAAGAUCAGGAGAAUUUUACAAAUGUUUUAUAUGUAUGUUUUUAUUUAUGAUACAUAUACAAAAAAAUUAUUUAUAUAUGAAUGAUAAUCAGGUAUUAAGGAUGAGGAAGGCAGGGCAAUAUUUUUUCACCAGCACUCAGCGACCUAUGGAAAGAUUUUCUGAAUAAUUAAGUUCAAUGUAUAUUUUAGGUUCCAAGAUGCUGCUGAUUAUUAUCCUUAGAAACCAGCGCUUUGGUUCCUAGUCAAACAUAAAACUUGUCUGCACAGUAAAAAAGUUGAUUGCCAUAGCAAUUUCAUUAUAAAGGAGUAAUGAUGAGAAGAAUUACUAAUCUGGAAUAAAGUUAUUUUAAAAUGAAGUGUCCACAGGAGAGUUGUUCUAGUCACACAUGGAGGCACGUUUUUGGAAUCUUAAGCUAACAGUAACUACUGAAAAAUACAGUGAUGUUGCAAACUCAGAUGGGUGCUUUCACAAAGCUGAAAUUAAUCCCACCAUAACAAAAACAACAUCAAGAAAAUGAAUAGAGAUGCUACUUAUUAAAAAUUUAUAUAUAUAAAAAACUUUUCAAGGCCCAUGACAAAAAUUAUUUAAAUUCAUGAGAUUUCAUGUUUUUAUUGUCACAAUCGCUUUAUUCUGUAGACACAACAAAACUUUUUUUUUCCUAUCUCCAAAAUUAAAUAACAACUGCAACAUAACAACCCAACUUGCAGUCAAAUGGGACUGGACUUUUAUGAUUGUUUCCCUGUCCAGCUUACUUUCAUUUGAAAACCAGAAUUUGGUUUAGCCUAACUCUGACAAUCCAUUCAUUUAAAAUUAGAACAAAUUUGAAAGAAAUUUAAACAGAAGAGGUAGAUAUUUAUAGUCUUAUUUAACCACAUGGCUUCCUCUGAACCCUCUGUAAAGAUUCAGGUAGAGUGCUCUGGCUGUGCUGUUAAGCAAACACCAUCUGUGUUAUAGAGUGUGCCAAAAGCAUCCAUGUAGAAUGUGGAAUGAGUCUGCUGGCAACUAUUUUCAGUACUUCACAUCCUAGUGAACUACAUAACUACAUCUGCUAAAAAGCUGUUUUGUUUUCUUUUUCUUUUUUUUAAACUAACAUUCUUUUUGGGGGGAGUAGGUGAUGUGGGGGCUGAAUGGAAUGAGGACCAAGUUGUAAUGAAGCAAAAUGAGACUGUUCUGUUGAAAAAUUUCUGGUAUCAAAAUAUGGAAAAUUCCAGAUGCUCUCCUCAGUUUUCUGGAUGUGCUGAAUCAGAGCACUCUUUUCAAGCAACAUCCAGCAGCAACUAUGUGCUAUGUACAAAUCAAUAAUUCUUAUCUAUAACCCAUUAAAUGGCCAUGAAAUGCAGAGGGAGUCCCAAUGCACUUUCCGUACUUUCUAAUAGGCUAAACAGUGACCCAAAUCUGAUUUUAUAGUUGAUACCAAACUUAAUAAAAUAAGAACUCUGCUGAUUGAGUUUCACAGCAAUUUUCAAUUCUGUCUUUAUCUACAUCUAAACACUGUAUGCAUACAAUUGUGCUUUUAUUGUUAAAUAAACACAAAAGUGCACCAGUGUGCUUUACAAAGUAAUACAUCUUCCGUUCUGCUUGUAAUUAAAGUAGAUGUCAAGGUAGAAUGACACAAAGAAAAUAAUGUUGUCAUACUACACUGGAUGCUGAUAAUGCCAUUUUAGGAUGGAGAUGUAUGAUAUGGAAGGAUGUGCAUUAUAGUGUUCAUAUAAUAUUUUCCCUGUCUUUUAAUCACCAUCAAGAACCACAAAUUCAGUGGUAACAAUCCUGAAUUGUGUGUAUACUUACUGGAGUGCUUUUAUAAUUUAUUUUCUAUGUACUUAUUUUUAUUCUUGUUCCUUCUUCCCUUUACGUAAUGUAAACACUGAAUCAUUUUAAAUUAUAAGUCAGUUAGCAAUUUCCGUGAAGAGAAACAGCGACCAACAUUACACAUUCCUAUCUUUAAAGCAGGGAUUUUUUUUUUCCUCUUCAGUUUAUUAAGAAACUUGGCUCAUUUCUUAUGUGUACCCCUAUGUGAUAUGACAAUCAAACUGAGUUGACUGGAAGGCUAACAAAGGUGAAGUGGGAAGGAAAUCCAGGUGAACAAUUCAAAAUAUCAGCUCAUUUCAAGUAGUUCACUAGAAACAAAAUCAAAUAGACACGGGGAGAAGGGAAAAUAGGUGUACAAUGAAAUUCUAAAGGACUUGGGCAAAAAUUAGAAGAGACUAAAAUUAGGUUUAAGUAGAUGUUGUAGACAUAAAAUUAAACCUUUCAGAUGUCAAUUUUCAUUAUCAUCUGAAAAGGAUUACCAGAGAAUGACUAGAGUAGAAUGAACUAAGGAUGUUAUUUGAGUAAGUGGACCAGGGAAACACCUAUUUUCCUGUGUAUGUGUGAAAGAGAUGUGUUUCCUAAGAUUGGCAAGUAAACUCUGUCAGAUUGGGCAGAAUCUCUGAUUUGAAGAACACAGCCGCAAUCUAACUGAAAUACUCUAUAGUUUUCUCUGUUUAUGUAUUUGUUUGUUCCCAGUAAGAGAGGUUUGAACUUUACAGUGCUAAAUUAAUUUUAUUAAAUGUGUAGAACCUGAUGAUACAGAACAGUAUGUGUUUAAGUGUCUAAUUUUACAUGACAAUUCUCUUGAUUAUCCUGGCAUUAGUAACUUUCCCUUUACUUCAUUAAAAACACAACACAAACCUAAAUCCUACACUUUUUAAAUAAUAUGUUAACAAACCCAGCAGUGACCAAUAACAUUAUGAAGUCUAUUUUCACAGUGUUGAUUUGGAGGGAAGAUUGCAGAAAGCUGUUACAAACCAAGCUGUUUAAAGCUUUAUAAUUUAUAUAAUACUUGAUGUACAACUGGUAAAACAUGCUCUUGCACAAAGGCUUAAUGAUAAAACAAAAUGAGCAGAAAAGUAAAAACAGGAAGCCAUUUCUGUAUGUUGCAUUAACUGUGAAUUCUAAAAUUCUUAUUCCUUGUAAGAAAUUAUAUAAAAACAUAAAAAAACUCUUACUGCCUUAACAGAAGUCAUAUUUCCUUCCAAAUGAACAUUCUCAAAUGUAGACUUUGAUAGUUAUUAAGAAAAUAUAUAUAGGUUAAAGUAUGGGUUUUUAUGUAUAUAUACGUGCACACAAGGGUUGUUCCAAAAGUAAUGCCUCCUAUUUUAUUACAUAGGCCUGCAGUGUUAGAGGCAGAUGUCAGUGGUAUGUCAAAAUCUUGAACAUUCCUGCCAAUAUCCCAACAUGUUGUUGCUGUACAACAGAUGGCAGCAGAGGGGCAGUCUGACAAAUUGAUAUCAGACACAGGCAUGCACACUCAGGAAGAUAUCUCACCCACUUAUAUUCAUUGAUUCUUGCUGAAAGCUUAUAAAAAAGAGUGGAUGUGAGCACAGUGGGUGGUGUGUUUCAGCAGUGAUGAUAGUAAUGUAAGAGACAAGCUACGUACUGGACAGCCACACACAGCCAUUACAUCACAAAAAGAAGUGCCUUGAUCAGCCCAUCCAUAUAGAUCAGCUAAUGGUGGUGACUAUGUUGAAAAAUAUUAUCUUGUACCCGAGAAUUUGCUUUAACAAAUAGUGUUAUUGUGUUCUUUGUUGCAGUUUCUACAGAAAUAAAUAUAAGGCAUUACUUUCAGAGCAACCCUCGUAUAUUAAUAUUUUACAAUAGCUCUUUCCACACCACUCACUGUAUAACUCCUACUAAAAAAAUGAAAAAAGUAAAUGAUACAAAACAUUAGUAAAUAGACUUAUUUGUAACCUUUGUUAGUUCAUACAUAAAGUGGUAAUCAUUAAUUUUCUUAUUUUAAAGAAAGAGGAGUGUUAUGGUAUUUUGAAUACCACUAAGUUUGUGUAAAAUGUGCUAGUAGCCUCUGGGCUGGGAAACACUUAAGGGUGUCAAAGUAAACAUAACUCAUACUAAAACAAAACAUUUUCUAUAAUUACAUCUGUUCUGCCACAUUUUGCUUUGCCACCUGCUUUACAAAUAUAUUUCAUGUGAGCUCAACAUUCACUAUUAGUGGUAGCAAUUCAAAAAAUAAAAUGCUUAGCUCUAAAUUGCGACUGAUUGUCACUGUAGAGAGGGAAAAUAUAAUAUUAUAUGGCUGUACUAGCUAUAAAUUCUUGUUAGCAGGUGCUCUAGUAUAAAAGUAUAAAUGUAAAGUGGACCAUUGAAGUGAUUUCCAGAAGUGGAAAAGGAACUUGACGUGAUAGUGCAGUUGUCUGGAACGUGGUUAAAAUAUUAUCUGUCUUCCUCCCUAACUGAAGAUUUGAUGUAUUCCAGCAGUUGAGCUACGCUUGCAAAGUUUUUUAAGGCAAUAUGACCUUGAGUUAAGAUCAUUACAUUCACAUAACCAAAAAGAAAUGUCUUGGGCCCAACUGAUAUUUUUAUCAUAAAAAGCAAUCUGCACAUCUCUGUAGCCCCUCUAUUCCUGGGGUGGCAACAGGAAACAGUGAGAUGCUUGUGCUGAAGGUGUUUACUGGAAUGAUCACACAGAGAUUUUCACUCUGGAUAUCCAAAACUGAGAGCUAGGAAAA